CAGCCGCCGCGGGAAUACGUAGGGUGCAAGCGUUAAUCGGAUUUACUGGGCGUAAAGCGUGCGUAGGCGGCUUCUUAAGUCGGAUGUGAAAUCCCUGAGCUUAACUUAGGAAUUGCAUUCGAUACUGGGAAGCUAGAGUAUGGGAGAGGAUGGUAGAAUUCCAGGUGUAGCGGUGAAAUGCGUAGAGAUCUGGAGGAAUACCGAUGGCGAAGGCAGCCAUCUGGCCUAAUACUGACGCUGAGGUACGAAAGCAUGGGGAGCAAACAGGAUUAGAUACCCCAGUAGUCCCUGUCUCUUAUAC
RNAcentral lists this ribosomal RNA (301 nucleotides) under uncultured bacterium. Its description in RNAcentral is "partial 16S ribosomal RNA". It matches the Rfam family "Bacterial small subunit ribosomal RNA", at positions 509 to 807 of the family's 1533-position model. The record is from RNAcentral.